This 67-nucleotide transfer RNA is filed under the name Marmota monax (woodchuck). RNAcentral describes it as "tRNA.Ala". Lineage: Eukaryota; Metazoa; Chordata; Mammalia; Rodentia; Sciuridae. The record is from RNAcentral.
GAUUGUAGUUCAGUGGUAGAGUGCUUGCCUUGCAUGCAUGAGGCAUUGGGUUCAAUCCUUAGCAUCA